GAUGAACGCUGGCGGCGUGCCUAAUACAUGCAAGUCGAGCGGACGGACGAUGAUCUUGCGUCUCGCAUGUUAGCGGCGGACGUGUGAGUAACACGUGUAUACCCUACCUAUAAUACUGGGAUAACUUCGGGAAACCGUAGCUAAUACCGUAUAAUAUUUUGAACCGCAUGGUUCAAAGGUGAAAGACGGUCUUGCUGUCACUUCUAGAUGCAUCCGGGCUGCAUGGGCUAGUUGGGAGGGUAAAGGCUUACCAAGGCAACGAUGCAUAGACGACGGGAGAGGGUGAUAGGCGACAUUGGAACGGAGACAGGGUCCAGACGACUACGGGAGGCAGCAGUAUGGAAUCGUACGCAAUGGGCGAAAGCAUGACGGAGUAACGGCGCGUGAGUGAUGAAGGCGUUCGGAUCGUAAAACUCUGUUACGAGGGAAGAACAUCUGUGUAAGUAGCUGUGCACAUCGUGACGGUACCUAAUCAGAAAGCAACGGCUAACUACGUG
This 497-nucleotide ribosomal RNA is filed under the name uncultured bacterium. Its description in RNAcentral is "partial 16S ribosomal RNA". It matches the Rfam family "Bacterial small subunit ribosomal RNA", at positions 28 to 507 of the family's 1533-position model. The record is from RNAcentral.